This is a non-coding RNA of Chiloscyllium plagiosum (whitespotted bambooshark), 981 nucleotides long. Lineage: Eukaryota; Metazoa; Chordata; Chondrichthyes; Orectolobiformes; Hemiscylliidae. The record is from RefSeq and is a predicted model, not a curated record.
CCUUCCUGAACAACAAACACUUUUAAAAUAGCAUCAAUUUCCAUAGAAGACUUUCCAAGGUCCUUUAAGGUGUCAGGUCAUUCCAAAGGACAAUUAAGCGUCCACCACAUUCCACUAGGCUUGAGUUACGUGUCAGCCAGGUCAGAUCUAUGAAUUGAAUCCAUAUUUCACCAGCUGCGAUGGAGUGAGUUGAACCCUUCUCCCAACAGCAUUAGCCUGGACCUGUGGAUUAUUUGCACAUGACCUUGGGUCAAAACCCUGAAAUAGUGUGGACAUUUUUAACUCGUGAUUACAAAAUAUGUUUUAUUUAAAAGAGGACUGAAAAUGGCUGUGGAUAUAAAUUAAGUGGCUGUCUGGAGCAAGAGACACGCUGACUAUCACACCUAUGGAUGCGAAGGUAACUACAAACAACAACACUUCAAAGGUGGAAAGGGGCAUGUCAAAGUAAACUGGACUGUGCUCUCUUGUGGCUAUAAAGAUAAUGAGGGACAGAUGACAUCCUGCUCAAUAACAAUCCACCCCUUGCAGAUUAUGCCCUAAACUACAGACAGACUCUGUAUUUUGCUCUUUGAAAAAUGCACAAUGCCAUGGGUUAAUAAGCCAGUUUUGACUCCACUGAAGUUUUGCAAUGAGAAUGAAGAUCCUCACAUGUGCCAACUUGAGUUUGAGCAUUUACAUGCUGUGAUGGGUCAUAGUUAAAAGACUAUCUCCUCGGCACCUCUGUGUUUCAGGUCAAGGAAGACUCCAUCACGUUACAAGUGCUUCCAACCAGACAAAAGUAUGUAGGACAACAUAAUGACUCUGAAUGCUGGAAUUAAUUCACUGUCAAAAGAAAUCAGAACAACAGAAUCUCGUACAAUCUGUAAAACUAAGGAUCAUAAAACUGACUAUAACUGUCAACAUCAAUGCUAUGUCUAGCCUCUAUUGCAAUGAUCAACUGUGUGCUCUUCAUGAACAAAUCAGAGACUGAUCUGUAGUGAC